Molecule: long non-coding RNA, 3413 nt
Filed under: Sarcophilus harrisii (Tasmanian devil)
Lineage: Eukaryota; Metazoa; Chordata; Mammalia; Dasyuromorphia; Dasyuridae
Description: lncRNA (ENSSHAG00000023366.1)
Source: RNAcentral
UGGAGGAACAUCAGGACAAAUAUGAAAAGGAUUCCACAGCCCAAAACUGGAAGAAAAUGCUACAAAGUACACUCAAAGCAACUUUUUCAUUACAUUUUAACGAUUUGUCUUUUAUUGACGAUAUGAUAAGUGUGAGCUUACAAAUAAAGUUUAACGACCAAAAUUAUAGGACAUUAUCUCAAGGAGAAAUGAAUACAAAUAAUCCUAUAGGAUGGUAUGUGUACAAACAACACACUCAUGCAACAAAUGGAAACCAACAAAGGGUCCAAAUAUGUAGAGGUUACCCAAACCAACAGUCAAAAGUUAAGAUAAUUCUACUCCUUUUUGUAUAUGUCCCAAAACAGUCUUGGAACUGGGAAGCUAGCAGUACUUAGUAAGAGGAAGCAAAGUAGAAGUAAUAACAAUUUUAGAAAUUUAUGCCUUAGUACCAUUUAGUCCCUGGCAACCCAAAGUAGUGUAAUUACUCAUUCUAAUUCAUGGUACUCCAUAUCAUCUUAAGGACAAAUGCCUAAGAACUAAAUAAAUAAAGCAAUGCCAAACUAAAUUAAAUUAUUGAUGAAUAAUUUAGCAAAACUUUAUUUCAUCCAAAAUAUUCAAAACCCAACAGAGAAUAUCUAUAUCCAUCUGUCAAGUUUAAAAAAAAACAAAGAUAUAGAAGUAAGUUCUAGGUAGUUGGGAACUCCCAUUUUAAGUCCUAACUCCAGUAUGGAUUACUGCUAUGUAACUUAAUGUGGGAGAGCUGCCUGCAACAAGAGAAUGUUCCUUGGUUUGUCUAUAGUCAAAUGGCUAGUAGGUAGUAGAGGUAAUACAUGAACCCAAAUAUUGCUAAUUCAAAGGUCAAUCUACCCCAUAAUAUCUUUCCAUGUCAAAUUAAUAUACAAAAUUUUGCUGUAUCCUAGAAAAAUAAGAGGCUUCUAAAUUGCAAGUUCCCAAAAGAAUAAUUAUUAAACUGGAUACUUACACUAGAAUUUUAAUUAUCAAAGUCCUUAAACUGUUAAUUAGGAAAAAAAUAUCACAUUAAAUAUCCCUGAAAAGAAUUAACACAAAUAUUUACUUUUUCCCAAAAGGUAUGAAUAGUUCAAAUGAAGAACUGAAAACCAGUAACAACUCUUAUGGGAAAAAAAUCAUAUAUGCUUCAACUUCACAAAGAGCAAAUUAGCAAAAAUGACAAAAAGGCUGACUGAUUUCAUUUUCAAGAGCUACAAGACAGACACAUUAAUACACUUGGUAGAGCUGGGAUUGGUCCAACUGUUCUAGAAAGGAAUUUAGAAUCAUGUUAAAAAAUGACCAAAAUGUCUAUACCCAUUAACGCAGUGUGCUACUAGACACAGACUCAAGGAGGUCAAAAACAAAAAGCUCCCUAUACACCAAAAUAUUCAUAGAAGCCCUGUUUGUUAUAGCAAAAAUUGGAAACAAAAAGAAGUUCCAUGAACUAAGGAAUGGCUAAACAAACUGGUAAAUAUGAAUGUAAUGCAAUAUCACUGCACUUUAAAAAAGGCUAAAUAUGAAGAAUUCAGAGAAGCAUGAAAAGACUUAUAUGAACCAAGCCAGGAAAACAAUGACUAUAGCAAUAAAAAGAUGGAAAUUAAAAAAAAAUAAAUAAAUAACAAUUUUCUUGGUCCUGGAGAAUUGAGAAAAUAUACUUUCCUUAUUUCUAUCUAGAUAUGAGGAACUAUAGAUCUUACUAAAUUGCAAAUGCUAUCCAAUUCAGUUGGUGACUUGGCUCAUUAUGCUGAAGUUCUUUCUCUGUUUAUGACAGCAUUCUGGUCAGGCAAAGGGGGGAAGAGAGAUUGAUAUGGAAAAUUUAUGUACAAAAAAAAAAGUAACAAUUUCUAAAAUCACCUUUGUGUAAUGCAAUUUUACCAUCACUUCAAUUAAAAAAAAGGUUAUUUCUACUCAGAUUUCUUAUGAAUUUUCAUAACCUUCCAUAUCCCAUCAAUGUUUAAUUUUUCAAUUUCCCAUAAUCAGUCUAUUCUCUCCUUCCCAAUUCCUUGCUGCUACUCCUAACUACACAUACCACACACACACACACACACAUACACACAAGAUGAGGAGCCAGAGACAGAAAAAGAAAAUGAAAGAAAUAAGUAUUCAUCAAUUGCUCAAAGCAAAUAAAUGCCUGAAAGCAAGCCUAGUGUUUUUGAUAAACUUAGGAGAAUGAAAAUUAUGCAAAAGUCACUGAAAAAAAAUCACAAAAUCUUAAAAAGGAGCUGGUGAUGAACUACUAGUUCAAUUCAUACCUCAAAAAUCAAGCAUAUUAAAAUAUAAGAUCCUUUAAAGUUUAUUUUGUUCACUGUAUCUCAACUGACUGAUAAAAUGCAAAAAAAAAAAGCAUAAGAGGCCUUAAUAAAUGCUUAAAUGAAUCAUCUAAACAAUAAACAUCCUUCCCAAGUGAUCAUCCAGCCUAAAAUUAAGACUCCAAUUCCUCCUAGUAACAGAAUUUACUAAUUUCUGAAUAAAGUUUUUUGCUUCACUACUGAUCAACUAUUCCCGUGUGUGUGUGUGUGUGUGUGUGUGUGUGUGUGCGUGUGUAUGUGUGUGAGAGAGAGAGAAUAAAGAGAUGGAGAUGGAGAGAGGGAGAACAGAAUAGUUAUAACAGCACUUUUUACAGUAUCAAAGAACUGAAACAAGAUAAAUAUCUACCAAUUAGGAAACACCUAAACAAGUUAUAGCACAUAAAUAUGAAUUUAGAAAAAAUGGAAAGACAAAUAAUUGACGCAAAACAAGGAAAACAAUGACACAAUGUAAAUGGGACAAGAACAAAAUAACUAAAACUUGUUUCAAAAUUGUGAUGAGCAAACUUAGACUCAAAAAAAAAAAAGAUAUGAAAAGGCAUCUCCCCAACCUUUUUCAAAAGUAGAAAAAUACAGAUGUGUAAUAAUGCUUACAUUUUCAACCUGAAACUUUUCAAUGUUGGUCCUUGUAAGCAACCUCCCCUUUUUUUUUUUUUGCCAAACAGAUUGAUUUUCUGGGAUCAAGAAUAAAUGUAAUCUUUUUUCCUUGUCAGAUACUUGAAAAUAAAAGUAUCAUGUCUCCCGAGUCCUCUCCAACUCUUAAAAAAAAUCUCAGUGAUAAACUAAACCAAGCACUAUAAGAAGAGUGCUAGAACUUAAAGUUCCUUUCAUUCACCACAUUCCCAAUGCCUAACACAUUGCAGGGCAGUUCUUGGGUCAUCCUUCAAGGCAGAGAGGUAGAAUAUUGAAUUAAGCAUUGAACUUAGAAUCGAAAAGACCCAAGUUUGAAUACCCUUCUCAGGCAUUUACUAGCUGUCUGACACUUAACCUGUCUCAGGCUGCUUCUUAACUCACACAGGAUUGUUGAGGAGCAAAUGAGAGGAAAAAUGUAAAAUUCUUUUGCAAAACCAGAAAAGCUGCAUAUUAACUAUGGUUAUUAUCCCCACUUAAUUCUAGUUC